Molecule: ribosomal RNA, 257 nt
Filed under: uncultured bacterium
Lineage: Bacteria
Description: partial 16S ribosomal RNA
Rfam family: Bacterial small subunit ribosomal RNA
Source: RNAcentral
UACGUAGGGUGCAAGCGUUGUCCGGAAUUAUUGGGCGUAAAGAGCUCGUAGGCGGUUUGUCGCGUCUGCUGUGAAAAACUCGGGGCUUAACUCCGGGCCUGCAGUGGGUACGGGCAGACUAGAGUGCGGUAGGGGAGACUGGAAUUCCUGGUGUAGCGGUGAAAUGCGCAGAUAUCUGGAGGAACACCGGUGGCGAAGGCGACAUCCUGGACCGGUAUUGACGCUGAGGGCGCGAAAAGCAUGGGGGAGCGAACAGG